AACGAACGCUGGCGGCAUGCCUAACACAUGCAAGUCGAACGAAGGCUUCGGCCUUAGUGGCGCACGGGUGCGUAACGCGUGGGAAUCUGCCCUUUGCUUCGGAAUAACAGUUAGAAAUGACUGCUAAUACCGGAUGUUGUCGCAAGGCCAAAGAUUUAUCGGCAAAGGAUGAGCCCGCGUAGGAUUAGCUAGUUGGUGGGGUAAAGGCCUACCAAGGCGACGAUCCUUAGCUGGUCUGAGAGGAUGAUCAGCCACACUGGGACUGAGACACGGCCCAGACUCCUACGGGAGGCAGCAGUGGGGAAUAUUGGACAAUGGGCGAAAGCCUGAUCCAGCAAUGCCGCGUGAGUGAUGAAGGCCUUAGGGUUGUAAAGCUCUUUUACCCGGGAUGAUAAUGACAGUACCGGGAGAAUAAGCUCCGGCUAACUCCGUG
This 433-nucleotide ribosomal RNA is filed under the name uncultured bacterium. RNAcentral describes it as "partial 16S ribosomal RNA". It matches the Rfam family "Bacterial small subunit ribosomal RNA", at positions 29 to 507 of the family's 1533-position model. The record is from RNAcentral.